UACGAAGGGAGCUAGCGUUGUUCGGAAUCACUGGGCGUAAAGCGCACGUAGGCGGAUGUGUCAGUCAGGGGUGAAAUCCCGGAGCUCAACUUCGGAACUGCCUUUGAUACAGCACGUCUUGAGUCCGAUAGAGGUGGGUGGAAUUCCUAGUGUAGAGGUGAAAUUCGUAGAUAUUAGGAAGAACACCGGUGGCGAAGGCGGCCCACUGGAUCGGUACUGACGCUGAGGUGCGAAAGCUAGGGUAGCAAACAGG
RNAcentral lists this ribosomal RNA (253 nucleotides) under uncultured bacterium. RNAcentral describes it as "partial 16S ribosomal RNA". It matches the Rfam family "Bacterial small subunit ribosomal RNA", at positions 524 to 776 of the family's 1533-position model. The record is from RNAcentral.